UAAAGCGCAAGCGCAGAAGAGGCCGCUCCCGGUCGUCGGGACUAGAGCUGUGGGUGCCUUGGUGUCCUUGCACACCCGUGGGUUUUGACACCGUCUGUGCGUGUUUAUGUAUACGUACACGUGCGGAUUUACAUUAAUAUGCGGCAUAAGUACUGCCCAAUUUGUCCUUCCUCUAGCCGUCCCCACUUAACGCUGAGAGAAGCAUUUCUAGGCAUGGUUCACGCUUCUUGCAUUUUUUUUUUUUUUCUUUGAACUGAAAACGAAAGAAACUCCUCGUUUCUUGAGUGGUUUCUGUAGCGGGGCUGAAACCGGAACGCCCAGCCUCUUUCGGUGAGGUGGGUCAGUCAGUAGUCCGCCCAUUUUUCACCCUGGGAACCAAGGCCAGCAAAGAGGCCGGGCGGGACUUGAGACCCGGCGGUAGGAGGGGCGCUCACUGCAGGAGGAAGCGCGCCCCAGGUGCGUGGAGGCUGACUGGGUUGCCGGCCUAGAGGCCCAGAGCGCCUCGGGGUUUUUGCUCUGAGUACUGUGUUUUCCCACGCCUCCAGCUUUGGAGCCGAAAGACUUCUCUCCAAAGGGCUUUUUGUGCAAGGUGAGUUGACGUCCUGCUUGACGUGGAGUGGAUUUUUUCUCUGAAAUACUUGGCGGCAUCUAACAUCAACCCCUUCUCUAAUCCCUUUGAGAAAAAGCCAAGCAUCUUGGCGCCCUGAUUCUAACCAUUGUACUCUACUUGAGAAAUAAAGGCAAUGAAAAUAACGUCUAAUUUUAUAGUCUUUUGCAGUUACAACACAUUCUCAAGUAUGUAAAAUGUUUAAUCCCUCAUGGCAAUUAUACUAGAUAGGUUUCACAAUUAUGCCCACCAUCAUUUUUUAUUAUUCCCAUUUCACAGAUGAGAAAAGUCAGAAGGAUGCGAAUUAGGCCCAGCAAGUUUUGUGCUGAGAUUUGCAGAAGGAGAAGGCAGAGGCUUAACCUUAGGAGAGGGAUGGCAGCAACAGCAAGGAUCUGGAAGGGGCAGGAGCUUGAGGCCCUGGUGGGGUUUGUGUUAGAGUGUGAGCAGAAGGUAAAAACCGGAGAAGAGUCAGGGUGGGAAUAAAGGAGUGAAACAAAUCCCAUCUAUCUACCUAGGGCAUUUGAUAAGUCAGUCAGUAAAACUCAUUAGGUAAACCUUGACUGUGUCUUAAGGGACCCAGGUGGCAGCUCCUUCAAAGGCUAGAGGAGUGGUGUUGACACACACAAAAAUCUUUCCUGAGGUUAUUCUCACCUCUCCUUUUCUCUUCCUUUUGUGCUUUUGAAUUCUAUAUUUAAAAACUCGAUCAUCUCUCGCCCCACCUUCACCCCAGGUGUGGAGGAUCAGUUAACCAACAAAAGGCUGUUGGGCCCUAAGGGCACAGUGCUAGAUACUUGGAGAGGGUGUGAGAAAAAAUACCGAGAUUAACUUUGUAGGAGCCCUCUCUAUGUUUUGGCUUUGGGCAGGGUCAGUUUCUGUGGCUACUGCAGCCUCCCACCUUUUUCUUCCUGGGCGAGAAGAGACUUGCCUCUGGGUUGGUGGAAUAAGUAGGCCUUUCUUUGACAGUAGGUUAAAUAAUACUGCUGCAGGAUUUUAUGAAACCAGAAUCCUGCUCACAGGUGAAACAAACAAAUGAAAACCCCAUGAGGAACUUUAAUUAUUAACCUGGUAUAGAUGAUUCUGAGGAAAUCAAGUUCCAGGGAGACAGCUCAUUUCAGCCAUGAGAUGUUUUGGGGACCAAAUUUUGGCACAAAUGGCAGUUUCUUGUAGUAGACCCUUAGAACUGAAUGGGUAUUUAGUUUUUUAGUCCCCAAUUUAUUUUAGAGCUAGAAUGCUUUCAACUCAACAGAAAGAUCUCUAGUCUGACUUGGAUAAUCCCAGUGGAGGAGAGCUUAUUACUGCACAAAUCAUCCUUGUUCUCUUAUUAGAUCAUCCCAACUGUAUUAAAAAUAACUUGCUCCCCACCCCAAACUUUGCACCUCUUGUAUUUUCAUUUCAUCAUCCACCUAAUUGAACUGAUAGGGAAAAAUCUGUUAUAAGAUGGCCAACAGGACUGAUAGGGAAAUUCCAGUCCCAGAGGGAAGACUCUUCUGGGUUCUUCUUCCUGCCCCACUUGCCAUGCGUGCGCCAAAUUGUCACUAAUACAGAAGUAACAGACUAUAAAUUGUUCCUUCUGCUUAUGCUCAGGACUCAGACCCCUGGAGAGUGAUCUCCUCUGAGCCCCUGGUGUGAAAUAAGCCUCCUGCCUUCCAA
Long non-coding RNA from Herpailurus yagouaroundi (jaguarundi), 2257 nucleotides. RefSeq lists it as uncharacterized. NCBI's taxonomy places the organism in Eukaryota, Metazoa, Chordata, Mammalia, Carnivora, Felidae. The record is from RefSeq and is a predicted model, not a curated record. The transcript is spliced from 2 exons.